UGCAAAACAAUAAUUUUCAUAAGAAAAGCAAACUUGAAGCCACCCAUCUACUCUUCAAAUGUAAUCUCUAACUUAAAAGUAUGUAACCUUUUCCUAGACAUGGUACCAUAGGAACACUGGGUGAUCUGGGUAGAGGUGUGGGCAUUUAAACAAUGUAAAGAAAGGUCUGGCACCUCAUGCCUUGCCAACCUGAGAAAAUGAGCUGUGCUUGCUACAACAUAGGAAAGAUAAAUUUCAAAGAUCAGGGAAACUACCAGCAUUAAAAAUAAAAGUAUUCACAUAAAAAAGCCCCAUUUUAUUAUUUAAAUUGUUUGCAGGCUCUCUUACCGUAGUCUGAGGCACCUUAGGUCUUCCUUAGUGAUAUCAUUGAGAAUAUCAGAAAGUGUGUAAUCUUCUUCAACAAUCUGAAAGAUUCAACAUACAUUCAACAACAUAAGCAGCUUUUCAACAGUAUCAUAGGAAUCCUUUGAUUUAGAAAUUUACCUUUUCUAUUGUAUUUGCAUCCACUCCUUGUAGCUGCAACCAGUCUAUAAGCUCUCUGUUGGUUCCCAGUCCGUCAUGGGGUAGUGGGUUCUCUGUUCCACCUAUAAAGAUUCCAAUUUUGUUUUAUUGUAUAGUAAUGUAUAACCAUAAAAUGCUUCAAAAAUAACAAAGUGGAUGUAAUCAUGUAUCCAAACAGAAAUGUAAAUGUGCUGUGAAAAGGAAAUGAAUUAAACUUGUUUGACCCGCAAAAAAAAAGAAAAAUCAUAAGAA
RNAcentral lists this long non-coding RNA (753 nucleotides) under Rattus norvegicus (Norway rat). Its description in RNAcentral is "long non-coding RNA NONRATT012167". Lineage: Eukaryota; Metazoa; Chordata; Mammalia; Rodentia; Muridae. The record is from RNAcentral.